UUUCUAUAUAUAUUUUAAAUGUAAUACAAUAUUUUUCUUGAUCCAACAGAAUCUACAUUUUCCAUUAAUAUUUUCUUGAAAUAAAGGAACUUUACUAACAAAAAUCUUAGUAAUCAGAAGGAAAUAAACUUUCUUAAAUCAAUUGUAUACGUUGCGAUAUAAAGUAGAGACUUAGUUCGAUUUUACAGAAACCACUCAAGGGAUGGGGCUGUUAGAGGGUGGAGAAAGUGUGGCACACAGAGAGACAGAAUCCCGGAUGGAGACAAGUGAUGCGGCUGCGAAGGAAAAAGUUAACGAACUCCUGGCGAACGCGUCGCGACGAAGGAGCUUGCCUGAUAAAUAGCGCAGGAUGAUGGGGAAAUGGCUGUAAGGACGUGAAAUGCGCGACCGACAGGCGUUCGGUGAACGUCGAUGAUGUAUGGGAUAGAUAACUUCGAAGGGUGACUAG
RNAcentral lists this unclassified non-coding RNA (448 nucleotides) under Bombus terrestris (buff-tailed bumblebee). RNAcentral's name for it is "misc RNA ENSBTSG00005029721.1". Lineage: Eukaryota; Metazoa; Arthropoda; Insecta; Hymenoptera; Apidae. The record is from RNAcentral.